UACGUAGGGGGCAAGCGUUGUCCGGAUUUAUUGGGCGUAAAGCGCACGUAGGCGGAUCGUUAAGUCGGGGGUGAAAUCCUGGAGCUCAACUCCAGAACUGCCUUCGAUACCGGCGAUCUAGAGUCCGGAAGAGGUGAGUGGAACUCCUAGUGUAGAGGUGGAAUUCGUAGAUAUUAGGAAGAACACCAGUGGCGAAGGCGGCUCACUGGUCCGGUACUGACGCUGAUGUGCGAAAGCGUGGGGAGCAAACAGG
This 253-nucleotide ribosomal RNA is filed under the name uncultured bacterium. Its description in RNAcentral is "partial 16S ribosomal RNA". It matches the Rfam family "Bacterial small subunit ribosomal RNA", at positions 524 to 776 of the family's 1533-position model. The record is from RNAcentral.